UAUUACGCUGCACAAAUUUCUUCAAUGAUGUAUAAUAACUAAGUAGUAGGCGUUAUCAUGAAGCCUUCGACCAUGAAUAUUCAGAGUAAAGUUAAAAUUUCUGGACGCAACGGCCACGUUCCCGCGAACAGAACUGUCAACUUCAUUGUGUUUAUUCAUGUAAGCCGACGACCAUUAGGGCAUAAUAAAAUAAAACGUUUUUAACUGAAAAUAACAGUUAACAUUUUAUAAGAAUAUGAAAAAAUAAAGAAAAUAGUGUUAACAGUGACGAAUUGCAAAAUUGGAGGGAAAAAACCACAAGAUCGGAGAAGAAAAUGCAACUUUCGCGUUCAAGGUCAAUUGCGGCGUCCUUUCGUCGAUAGCAUAGCUACACGGACGUGAUAAAUAUCGAGAUAAAAAUGUAGCAGGCCAUGGAUGUACCUACAUUAAUAGUGCCAGCGAACGAAUGUUUAAUGCAUACAUAACUAAAAUUCCGAAAAGGAACAUAAACGUCGGCAAGUGAAGAAUGAAGCGAGUUAAUUUUGACCUUGUUGGAAGGAGGCACCGCACCAGAAGGUUAAAUAUGGGAAUAAUCCUUCUAGGACAAUCUUGUUGUUUGCUUGCAGAUAUAUAAUUACGAACAUUACAAAACAACAAUGACCCGGACAAGAUUAUGAAAAAAUACUCUGCCUUGUUAAAUUACUAGUGCUCUGAAGAUGAACCCAGAGACUCAAGCUGCGGCUGGUGAGACGUUUGUCAGUUGGGAACAAGGCUAGGUAUUGAAAUGAAACAAAAUAAAGUUUCCUGUGACCUGUUCUCUCACUGUGAUGAUUUAGCACUCAAUAAAUUGUCUGCUGUAACCAGCUAUGAAAAGGUAAUGUCACUCUUAAGUGACCACUGGUUUUUUGUGUGAUUAUUAUCACUGAGAAUCUUACCUAAGGCAGCUGUUCAAUUAUUAAAUCACAAUCAAUGGCAUAAGAGGUUUUUAAAUCAUUUACUUAAACAUGCUGUUGACAAGUGGUGUUUUAAGAAAGUUUAGCAGAAGUACUAAUGACUUCUAAAUUAUUGUAAGUCCUAAUGCCCGGUACUUUAAACUUCAAGGGCUCAACUAUCAAUAUUUUUUUUCUAAUGUAUGUUUUGCUGUUGCUUUUCUUUGUUAUCAUAUAAUAAAGUAUUUAUUACUUAUUUACUAACAACAUACAAAAACCCUGGUCAAAAGCAGCAAUAAGGAAGCGGAGCAACACUUUCCCCUUUGCAUCACAAUGUGGUCGCACUCAGCGACACCACAACAGCCUGUGUUCAUUUAGAACAAAUUCUUGAAAGUUGUGGUUAACUUAAAUACAUUUUUUGUCAGUGCAAUGACAUCAUAUUUACAAGGACCCAAGGAUUUUGUCCUGGUUAAUCAUACAUUAAUUCUGAAAAAUGAUUACUAUUGAGCAAUCGACAGUCAAUACUAGGAAGUUAUGUGACUGUGAUAUAUACUGUGUGUACAAAAUAUAUGCCUAUGAUGUUCUUACACAAGAAUAUACACUUUACACAGCUUAAUAUUUAACUAAAAUAUUUUAUGUACAAAACCCUAAGGGAAGUAAAUACAGUUAUAUUUUUAAUAUAAGUAAAUUGAUUGCAACUAAGCAUUGGAAUUGCCAUGAAACUAAUUGUUGCAUGAACACCUUUUACUUGAUUUUAUGAGAGUAGAAAAUAUCUCUGAUUCAUGUGGAAAGCUGAGAUUACAGUUUUAAGUCCUGUCAUUAGACUAUUUGACUAUAUGUCUCUCUAGCUAUGUAUCAGACCUUUCAUGAAGUGUCCAAGAUCUAGAGGUCACACAAUGAGCAACUGUUUAGAUGUUAUAUCUAUUGUCCUUAUGAUAAAUGUUUUUAGACUAUGUAGGUACCUAUGCAAGAUGCACUCUAUUAUUCUUGAUACCAUAUGGAGCUAGGUAUAAUCAAAUUAAACUAGCUCCUUAGUACCUUAGAAAGCUGUCUAAUAUCUGGAUUUAUUUCUUUACCCAAUAAGAAACAAUGUCAAUAUAUCACCUAGUGUGACUUAUUUUGGUGGCUAAUUGAAAGUAAAGGGUUAUAAAUAUACUUUUUGAAGAUAUUUAUUUACUAUACAGUAAUAGUUUAUUGACCUGCUGGGGCAACCGUGUGGAAAUGAGUUAUCUGUGGGAUUAUGGAAGGAGCCUAUUAAUAGAAUACAUUACAUUAAUUUUAUUCAGCUUAAUGGUGGUCUUUAUAUUUAAAGACGUUUCUUUCCGAUUUACCAGACUGUGACAUACUUCUGAGAAAAUACAACACAGCUAUCUCAAUUAUAAACCGCUUUGGUGAACUGAAAUACUACUGUACAGUAUUUUUACCUCAAAACCAUCGAUGUUCGAUGCUCAAAACAAUGUUGAGGAACAAUUGGCAUUGGUGUGAAACGAGACAUUACAAUAUUAGUCUUAAAUAUUAUAGGUGAACUGUGUCAUAGCUGAUUGAGAGAUAACUAUAUAAGAUUUCGGAGAUAAAACGUAAAUUAAACAAUGAAUAUUUAGAAAUUUCCUGCAUCAUUUUGGAACUCAUAUACCGAGUUAUUGGAGUCGCGCAGAUGAAAUAUGUGAACGCUAUAUAUAUCCUGGUGUAGUAACCCAGAUAUUUUUUCUACAUAGAUGCUUGCACAUUUUCUUUGAUGAAUUAUUUUAUCUAUGCUUUUCUUCCAUUCGAAAUGAAAUUUAAGGUACCUAUUAAAGUUUUAGGUAAUGCAGAAGACAUGGCAACAACCAUAUUGUACACAGUUUUUACAAAUACUUACAUGUUACAUACAAUUGUAUAGAUUUGAGCGCCAGCUCACAUUUAUAAAAACUUAUUCCAUUAA
Molecule: long non-coding RNA, 2829 nt
Organism: Cydia pomonella (codling moth)
Lineage: Eukaryota; Metazoa; Arthropoda; Insecta; Lepidoptera; Tortricidae
Exons: 2
Source: RefSeq, a predicted model, not a curated record